This 26-nucleotide transfer RNA is filed under the name Uroplatus phantasticus. RNAcentral's name for it is "tRNA-Tyr". The record is from RNAcentral. Lineage: Eukaryota; Metazoa; Chordata; Lepidosauria; Squamata; Gekkonidae.
CUCGUUCGUGAGGCUACAACUCACCG